ACCAGACUCUUAAAUAUAUGGAACAAAUUAGUGGUUGCUAGAGAGGUGAAGGGUGGGGGAAUGG
This is a long non-coding RNA of Mustela erminea (ermine), 64 nucleotides long. RefSeq lists it as uncharacterized. The transcript has 3 exons. The record is from RefSeq and is a predicted model, not a curated record. NCBI's taxonomy places the organism in Eukaryota, Metazoa, Chordata, Mammalia, Carnivora, Mustelidae.